AGUGAACGCUGGCGGUAGGCCUAACACAUGCAAGUCGAACGGCAGCACAGUAAGAGCUUGCUCUUACGGGUGGCGAGUGGCGGACGGGUGAGGAAUACAUCGGAAUCUACUUUUUCGUGGGUGAUAACGUAGGGAAACUUACGCUAAUACCGCAUACGACCUACGGGUGAAAGCAGGGGAUCUUCGGACCUUGCGCGAUUGAAUGAGCCGAUGUCGGAUUAGCUAGUUGGCGGGGUAAAGGCCCACCAAGGCGACAAUCCGUAGCUGGUCUGAGAGGAUGAUCAGCCACACUGGAACUGAGACACGGUCCAGACUCCUACGGGAGGCAGCAGUGGGGAAUAUUGGACAAUGGGCGCAAGCCUGAUCCAGCCAUACCGCGUGGGUGAAGAAGGCCUUCGGGUUGUAAAGCCCUUUUGUUGGGAAAGAAAAGCAGCAGGUGAAUACCCCGCUGUUCUGACGGUACCCAAAGAAUAAGCACCGGCUAACUUCGUG
Molecule: ribosomal RNA, 492 nt
Filed under: uncultured bacterium
Lineage: Bacteria
Description: partial 16S ribosomal RNA
Rfam family: Bacterial small subunit ribosomal RNA
Source: RNAcentral